CGUAAUGCCNUUAAUUUGGUGUUGCGGGAAAUUUGGACUGUUACUUUGAAAAAAUUAGAGUGUUUAAAGCAAGCUAACGCUUGAAUACAUUAGCAUGGAAUAAUGAAAUAGGACGUUCGAUCUUAUUUUGUUGGUUUCUAGGAUUGACGUAAUGAUUAAUAGGGAUAGUUGGGGGCAUUAGUAUUCAAUUGUCAGAGGUGAAAUUCUUGGAUUUAUUGAAGACUAACUACUGCGAAAGCAUUUGCCAAGGAUGUUUUCAUUAAUCAAGAACGAAAGUUAGGGGAUCGAAGGCGAUCAGAUACCGUCGUAGUCUUAACCAUAAACUAUGCCGACUAGGGAUCGGAUGAUGUUAAUUUUUUAAUAACUCAUUCGGCGCCUUACGGGAAACCAAAGUGUUUGGGUUCCGGGGGGAGUAUGGUCGCAAGGCUGAAACUUAAAGGAAUUGACGGAAGGGCACCACCAGGGGUGGAGCCUGCG
This 477-nucleotide ribosomal RNA is filed under the name uncultured Glomeromycotina. RNAcentral describes it as "SSU rRNA". It matches the Rfam family "Eukaryotic small subunit ribosomal RNA", at positions 712 to 1187 of the family's 1831-position model. The record is from RNAcentral. Lineage: Eukaryota; Fungi; Glomeromycota.